RNAcentral lists this long non-coding RNA (634 nucleotides) under Olea europaea subsp. europaea. Lineage: Eukaryota; Viridiplantae; Streptophyta; Magnoliopsida; Lamiales; Oleaceae. The record is from RNAcentral.
UAUAAAGAUACAAAAAGACAAUAUAUUAAUUAAAAUAUGUAAUAUCAAUCACUGUAACAUUGAAACCGAAACAUAUAAUCAAAACAUAAAUAAAAACCAUUCACUAAGCAUGGUUACAUCUAAAUUUAAACUAAAAACCAUAUUCAUUGGGGGCAAUGUGACUGAAUGAUGGCUCCGAUGUCAUGAACUAACAACUAUUGACUCCAAAACUUGUAGCUUGUUUGCUCAGUUAAUUAUAUAAAACUCUAAUGUUCUCUCGAGUAGUACACACAAUACAAGAGGUCCUAAUUUGUUUACAUGCCCCUUGGAUAGGAAGAUCUAGAGUCCUUGACAAGUGUCCAGCACCUAUCCCUGCAAAUCCAAUAAUAAAAAUCGAACACACAAAUGGACUUCAUAUAGUCAGAAAAUUAACUAUUAAAAAAAAUCCUACCUUAAACUCAUUUAUUUCAUCAUCCAAUGUCCUAUCAUUUUCUCCAGUUCUUUGAACGUUUUCACUUUUUGCUGCAUCUAUUAUAUGAUAUUCACAUUACCUUUUUAUACUUGCUCAUUACUCGAAAUGCAAAAGUCUCUACUUCAAUCAAGGCAUACAUAGUUACAGAUAACACACGAAUUUCAAAAAAUUACACAAUAAAAG